Molecule: transfer-messenger RNA, 357 nt
Filed under: Desulfococcus sp. 4484_242
Lineage: Bacteria; Pseudomonadati; Thermodesulfobacteriota; Desulfobacteria; Desulfobacterales; Desulfococcaceae
Rfam family: transfer-messenger RNA
About the family: Bacterial tmRNA, also known as 10Sa RNA or SsrA, is named for its dual tRNA and mRNA-like properties.
Source: RNAcentral
GGGGGCGAAACGGCUUCGACGGGGAUAAUUGAGGCUUAGGUUGCAUACCGAGGUUCCAUCUGCUCGUAAAACCGGUGGGCUUAAAACAAACGCAGACGAUUAUGCGUAUGCCUUAGCCGCAUAAAAUAGGCUAACGUCCUCCAGGUUUGAGCCUGCGUGACCGAAGAGGACGUCGACCAGCAGGCUAGCCGAUCUGUUGCACCUGUGAAGCAGAAAGGCGAAUUUAAACACAGGUUAGCCUCAGGGAUAGCUUGCCCAAUUGUCAUCUGUGAGGCGAAACUUCAAAAUUGGGCUAAGUAUGUAGACACCUAUGCUGAAUGUUUCCGGACGCGGGUUCGACUCCCGCCGCCUCCACCA